UGUGCUAGGAGAGAUACUUGCUAUCUGUGGCUCUGGCAUGCUGUUUGGUGGGUGGUUUUCUAUCUAUCCAUUGGAAGGAUGCAAACGUUAGGCUUUCUGCAUGAACAGUUUUACACAUACUUCCAAAAUAUAUUCACCAUUAUUGCAAUGUAAUGUUUGCAUAUAGCAAUGCCUCAGGAAUUGGAUUAGAAUUCAAACAAAAGCAGAAUUAAAAUAUGUUUUCACAAGAAUGGGUAAUUUAUGUCUUGAUGGAAACCUUGGCAGUUUAACUGAAAUAACAGCAGGAAAGGGUGGAUAAAUUAUUUAGUCUCCACACACAUAUCAGUGUUUUUAUAUAUAUGAGUUAUUGAGCUGAGCAUGGAAAAGUUUUUGCUAAUUUCUUGCCUUUGUACAGAAUUCCUUUUCAAACUGGAACCAGGGUUUUCCAGUUUGGUGAGUUCCCAACAGCUGAAACAAAGGCAAUCCCAACUGUGCCUUUCUUCUUCCUUUUGCUUCCUUUUUUCCCUUCCUUUCUUUUUUUCUUCCUUUUUUUGGUUUCUGGCAGAGUCUGAGUGGAAAAAGAGAACACAAAAUUCAUUGCACAGGGCAAAGCCUCACUUGUACCUCUGGCCAAGCUGUCUAUUGUCAUUGUACUCCAUUUAGAGUUAAACUGAUGUUUAAUCUGUAGGGAAUUUAGUCCAUUUGCUGUGAAGGCUGAGCUAAUACAGAGCAAUUGCUAAGUGUGCAACUCAGGGAGGGUUUUUUAGCUGUUUCUGGUUUAUUCUUUAUGGAGAAGUGUUUCUAAGAAACAGUGGUGACUGAAAUGUAGAAUCAGAUUUUUUUUCUUCCAUUUUGUCUGAGGCAAUUAGUUAUUUAAUUAAGGAGCUUUUACCAGUGGCUGGGAGGAGGUACAAUGGUUCCACUUCUUCAGAUUCAGCCAUCAAAGACUUUUAGUUCAUGCUUUAAAUGGGGAAAAGAUUUCCCCAAUGGGUAAGUACCUUGCAGCGUUUAGAUUAAUUAUUGUGUGUAUUUAAAAGUAUUGUGGGUGUAUUGAAAUGAAUAAAUAAGUAAAGGAAGAAUGCUUAAAAGGCAAGCUAUGGCAUCACUAAUAUGGCUAAAACCAUUUAAAAAUCACCCCAGUUUAUCAUCAAGUGAUAUUGUGUAUUGGUUCCUGUGAUAUGGCAUUUUGUCCACCAGCUCUGUCACAUGAGCUAAAUUUUGCUUGGUUCAGGAGAAAUAUGGGAGUAAAUUUGAACUAAUACUCUAAUUUUUAACAUCUUAGCUAUGUUUUGGAGCAUGAAAGCUGCAGCUGAGAGCUCCAAGAGCCUGAGGGAGGCAAAUGUCCUGGAUGGAAGGAGAAACCUGCAUUUAAUCCAUGCUUUGUAACAGAGGAGCCACGGGAGUGAGAAGCCCAUUGCAGGGAGCAAAAAACCCCAUGGAAGAUGCACCCAGGGCCAUCAGGGCCUUUUGAGGCACCAGACACCACCCUGUGAACAUCAGAAAUGCUUGUCCAUGGGCUGGGGUGUAUUCUGCAAAGUUUGGUAGAUAAACAUCUGGCUGUCCUAAGGAGUUACUGACUUUAUCCUGGAUAUGGAGCUGACCUCUAACUAGGUUAACUUUCUGUACUUCCAUUUGCUGUUUCAGAACCCUCCACAGAAGUGCCAGUUCACGUGUGUUCAGGAAAUGCCUAUGGAGAACCAGUUGUGCCUCUGGAAAGCUGCUGGCUAAAUGGAUGGAUUUCCUCCUUCUUCCUCUGCCAGAAGGG
Strigops habroptila (Kakapo) is the source of this 1744-nucleotide long non-coding RNA. RefSeq lists it as uncharacterized. The record is from RefSeq and is a predicted model, not a curated record. Lineage: Eukaryota; Metazoa; Chordata; Aves; Psittaciformes; Psittacidae. The transcript is spliced from 3 exons.